UCUGUGGCUUUUUUCAAAGCCAUUAAAACUCCCAACCUGAUCAUGU
Acanthisitta chloris (rifleman) is the source of this 46-nucleotide non-coding RNA. NCBI's taxonomy places the organism in Eukaryota, Metazoa, Chordata, Aves, Passeriformes, Acanthisittidae. The record is from Rfam.